Molecule: long non-coding RNA, 356 nt
Organism: Bos taurus (domestic cattle)
Lineage: Eukaryota; Metazoa; Chordata; Mammalia; Artiodactyla; Bovidae
Source: Ensembl
ACUCCUUUCCCAAUUUUGAACCAGUCUAUUGUUCCAUGUCUGGUUCUAACUGUUGCUUCUUGACUUGCAUGCAGGUUUCGCAGGAGACAGGUUAUUGGUGACUGUGUGCAAAUAAAGAAAGAACAUACACAGGACCUGAAACCUGAGCAAUUCCUGGGGCAGAGAAAAUCUGGAUCCCAAGGGUACACACCCACCCAAAACAGGAUUCCACUGGUUGAAUGUAUCCAUGACAGUAUGGCCCUUAAUUGCAGUAAGUAUAAUAUUCAUUGAUCCAAAUUCACUCUGGUGAAUGUUUUGAGUACUUUAGCAUUGCACUGAGUAUCUCCUAAUCCCCUACUUUUUGUCUCUGAGUUGUG